Neofelis nebulosa (Clouded leopard) is the source of this 1918-nucleotide long non-coding RNA. RefSeq lists it as uncharacterized. The transcript has 2 exons. The record is from RefSeq and is a predicted model, not a curated record. NCBI's taxonomy places the organism in Eukaryota, Metazoa, Chordata, Mammalia, Carnivora, Felidae.
ACUUUAAAAUGGCUUUCAGUGAGUGUUGUUAUAAAUGAAAAGGUAAUACUUUGCUAAUUUAGUUAUAACAUAUUCUUUACAUGCAUUAUCAUGUGAAAAGUUUUUCUCUGGUCCCUAACCACAUAGUCUGCUUAACAGAUGUGUCCAGAUCUCACCAUUCUAUAACUACAAAGUAAGGUGACAUUCUAAAUAUAUAUCUGUGCAAGUCCAUGUCACCAUGAGAUUCUGUUAUUUACUUUUUUUUUUUAAACAUUUAUUCAUGUAUUUUUGAGAGAAUGAGUGCCAUGAGCAUGAGUGGGAGAGGGGCAGAAAGCAAGAAUCCCAAGCAGGCUCUGUGCUGUCAGUGCAGAGCCAAACGAGUAGUUCCAGCUCACAGACCUUGAGAUCAUGACCUGGGCCGAGAUCAAGAGUCAGACUCUUAACUGAGCCACUCAAGUGCCCUGCUGUGUGUGAUUUUUAAAAAGCCAAAAUAGGGGCGCCUGGGUGGCUCAGUUGGUUAAGCGUCCGACUUGGGCUCAGGUUACAAUCUCGCGGUCCGUGAGUUCGAGCCCCGCGUCGGGCUCUGUGCUGACUGCUCAGAGCCUGGAGCCUGUUUCAGAUUCUGUCUCUCUCUCUCUCUCUCUCUCUCUCUGACCCUCCCCCGUUCAUGCUCUGUCUCUCUCUGUCUCAAAAAUAAAUAAACGUUAAAAAAAAAAAAUUUUUUUUUUAAAAACCAAAAUAACAGUGGCUUAAACACAAAAAGGUUUAUUGCUUUCCACCUAAAAGAAGUGUGAAUGUCUACAGUUCAGGGCUGUGUGGUAGUUGCACUGUAAUCAGGGACAGAGCUUCCUUCUGUUGUUAUUCAGCUUUCUGUCCUAGGCUCCUGGAGCCAGCUCCAAGUGUGUGUGUGCAUGUGUGGUGGUCUGGUGGGGGGAGAAGGCGGAGAUUCCAAGCAAUUCUGCAGGGAUGCUACCUGUGGUGGUUCUAUAGUUAAACUCAGUUCUGACACUGUCUUCCCAGAGAUAGUAUCAAAACCCACAGGUUAAGAGCUAAGUCAUACAAGACUGUCUCCUCUCCCAGCUCCCCUUCAGAAGCCAGCCACAAGCCCAGAUUGUUACCUGUACUCACUGACUAGCUAUUAAUCAGAGGUUUCCAUGACCCCCGGCUUGGGUUUGAUUAAUUUGCUAGAGGACUCACAGAACUGAGAGAAAUGUUCUACUUACUAUCCAAUAGUUAGUUUAUUACAGUUCUUUGUUUUUUGUAUACUGUUUAUAGUUAUUUAUUGCAAAAGUGUAUAACUUUUUGAACAACCAAAUGGAAAAGAUUCAUAGGGCAAGUUAUGUGGGAAGGGAUGCAGGAGUUUCUAUGCUCUCAGUGCACCAUUCUUACCACAAGUCCACAUGUUCACCAAUCCAGAAGCUCUCCAAACCCUAUCCUUUUGGGUUUAUUUUUUAAAGUUUAUUUAUUUUGAGAGAAAGAGAUUGAAAGCACAUGUGCAAGCUGGGGGAGGAGCAGAAAGAGAAGGAGAGAUUCCCAAGCAGGCUCCAGGCUGUCUGUCAGAGCAGAGCUUGAUGCAGGACUUGAACCCAUGAACUGAGAGAUCAUGACCUGAGCCGAAAUCAAGAGUCAACCUUUUGAGCCACCCAGACACCCCUCCUUUUGGCUUUUUAUGUAGACUCUCUUACAUAGGUAUGACUGAUUAAAUCACUGGCCUUUGGUGAUUGAUUCAACCUCCAGCCCCUCUCCCAGGAGGUGAGGGGGUGGCCCUGAAAAUUCCAACUCCGGUGACCAGCCCAUCUUUAGGUGAUCUAGGGACAUUCCAAAAGCCACCUCAUCAACAUAAGAAAAGAUACCUUUAUCUUCCUCAUGAAAUUCCAAGGGUUUUAGGAGCUCUGUGCCAGAAACAAGGACAAAGACCAAAUAUGUAUUUCUUAUUAUU